UACGUAGGGUGCGAGCGUUAAUCGGAAUUAUUGGGCGUAAAGGGCGCGUAGGCGGUUUUUUAAGUCGGAUGUGCAAUCCCCAGGCUCAACCUGGGAACUGCAUCCGAGACUGGAAGGCUAGAGUACUGGAGAGGGUGGUGGAAUUCCUCGUGUAGCGGUGAAAUGCGUAGAGAUGAGGAGGAACACCAGUGGCGAAGGCGGCCACCUGGACAGUAACUGACGCUGAGGCGCGAAAGCGUGGGUAGCAAACAGG
RNAcentral lists this ribosomal RNA (253 nucleotides) under uncultured bacterium. RNAcentral's name for it is "partial 16S ribosomal RNA". It matches the Rfam family "Bacterial small subunit ribosomal RNA", at positions 524 to 776 of the family's 1533-position model. The record is from RNAcentral.